UAGCAUAUCAAUAAGCGGAGGAAAAGAACCAACAGGGAUUGCCUCAGUAACGGCGAGUGAAGCGGCAAGAGCUCAAAUUUGAAAUCUGGCUCCUUCGGGGUCCGAGUUGUAAUUUGUAGAGGAUGCUUCGGGUGCGGCCCCCGUCUAAGUGCUCUGGAACGGGCCAUCGGAGAGGGUGAAAAUCCCGUCUGGGAUGGGGUGUCCGCGUCCAUGUGAAGCUCCUUCGACGAGUCGAGUUGUUUGGGAAUGCAGCUCUAAAUGGGUGGUAAAUUUCAUCUAAAGCUAAAUACUGGCCGGAGACCGAUAGCGCACAAGUAGAGUGAUCGAAAGAUGAAAAGCACUUUGAAAAGAGAGUUAAACAGCACGUGAAAUUGUUGAAAGGGAAGCGCUUGCGACCAGACUCGCUUCCGGGGUUCAGCCGGCUUUCGGGCCGGUGUACUUCCCCGGGGGCGGGCCAGCGUCGGUUUGGGCGGCCGGUCAAAGGCCCCUGGAAUGUAACGCCUCUCGGGGCGCCUUAUAGUCAGGGGUGUCAUGCGGCCAGCCUGGACCGAGGAACGCGCUUCGGCACGGACGCUGGCAUAAUGGUCGUAAACGACCCGUCUUGAAACACGGACCAAGGAGUCUAACAUCUACGCGAGUGUUCGGGUGUCAAACCCGUGCGCGCAGUGAAAGCGAACGGAGGUGGGAGCCCCCUCGAGGGGCGCACCAUCGACCGAUCCUGAUGUCUUCGGAUGGAUUUGAGUAAGAGCGUAGCUGUGGGGACCCGAAAGAUGGUGAACUAUGCCUGAAUAGGGCGAAGCCAGAGGAAACUCUGGUGGAGGCUCGCAGCGGUUCUGACGUGCAAAUCGAUCGUCAAAUUUGGGUAUAGGGGCGAAAGACUAAUCGAA
This 887-nucleotide ribosomal RNA is filed under the name Aspergillus ruber. RNAcentral's name for it is "LSU rRNA". It matches the Rfam family "Eukaryotic large subunit ribosomal RNA", at positions 36 to 939 of the family's 3401-position model. Lineage: Eukaryota; Fungi; Ascomycota; Eurotiomycetes; Eurotiales; Aspergillaceae. The record is from RNAcentral.